AGGGAGCUCUAUAGCGCCCCCUGUAAUGCAAAAAAAAACAUUGAUGCACAGAUCGGGCAAAAAUGUACGCACAUGUAAGAGAGUUGGUACGCAUAUAGAUCUCAUCGACCCGAACAACUUUCGCCCUCUAACAUUUAAGCUCCGCCCAACAGGAAGUCUGCUAUUUUGGAUUGUUUAAAAAAUGCAUUCGUUGAACUUUUAAAUACUCCUCCUAGUGGAUUCAUGGGAUUGACACCAAACGUGGUGAUCAUGAUGUCGAGACAUUGUACUUGCUAAAUUGCGAAGGGAUUUUUGAUAUCUCGAACGGUUCUGCCAUGGCGAGGCGAUGAAUUCAUGGCGAAUUUAGAGAAACAGGAAGUGUCUAAUUUCUAAGGCAAAAAAUAUCUUAUUGUGAUGCCAUGCUGGGUGUUUGUUCGUCUGAAGAUUCCGAUUGCAUCGAUGUGCCUAUUGUGACUCCCGGUUAUAGCGCCACCACCAGGCGCCAGGAAGUGUGUCAGUCACAAAGCUGGAUUUUUUUUUGACAGUUCCAUGCUAUGUUCUUUUAAAUACUCCUUCUAGAAAAAUCAUGCAAUUGACACCAAAAGUGGUGAACAUGAAGUCGAGAGAUUGUAGAUGAUAAAUUGCGAAGGGAUUUUUGAUAUCUCAAACGCUGUUCCCAUGGCAACGCUUCAAACUUUACUUUCAUUUUAAAGGCAUUUUUAAGCCUUUCAGUUGACGCCGAUGUUCCUUUAAAUACUCCUUCUAGGAUAUUCAUGCGAUUAACACCAGAAGUGGUCAACAUGAUGGCGAGACAUUGUACACUCUAAAAACUCCUGGGUUAUUUCUUCAACCCAUAUUCUGGGUUAUUUGUGUUGGGUUAAAAUUAUGGGUUAUUUUUUCAGAGAGUAACCAUUUUCUGGGUUAUAGGGCUAAUAUUUUGACCCAAUUCCUGGGUUGUUUGGGUUUCUGGGUUAUUUUUCAAAGGUUAACCCAUGUUCUGGGUUAACGCCCCGCCCCCCGCUGUUCUGGAAUUUUCUCACAACAGUCGAUUGAAAUAUCUGUCACCGGAGUUCGCGGCGCGAUCGAUCCGUUUUGGCCGUUUCUGCAGUCUGAACACUUUACCUCAGAGCGUCCGUAAACUGAAUGAAUUUAGAAUAUCACCUGAAAAUCCAACAUCAACCAAUUUUCAUGAAAGUAGCUCAUUUCUGUAAAUGAAUGUAAAAUUUAAUGUACAUUACAGCACAUGGUGAAGUCUGUAUAUACAUUAACGAUGAUUUGAGACAAAUAAGUGUAAAUUUAAAACUAUGUACAUGGCGCUCGGCGCCGCAGACAGACGCAAAAUGACGCCGCCGGUACACACACAUACUGUACCCUGUGUCUCUUCGUUCCCUAGCUCCCGAGGUCGUGAAUCAGUUUAUCAUGUACACAGGUUCGGGCACUGGUAAGGACUUUAGCUCACUUGACAUUGGGACACUGUUCACUUAUUAUCUUGUGAUGUGGCUGCUUAAGCGUGUUGUGAUCACUCACCUCUGUUACUCAUCAACAACCGGCAAAACCAACCGUUGCGUUGCUUUGAGUUAUGUUUACCAGCUGCACCAUGCUUAUAAUAUUAUACAGUGCUCUACUGGCUAAAGUAGUGAGAUUUAAAGAAGCAGGUCAAGUCUUCAAAUUGUUGCUAACCUCUAUAUGUUUUCUCCAGGUCUUUUUAAAUGGACAGCUUUGUCACUGAUAAGUUAACUGAGUGGCGGCUGUUUGAGCUGACAGAGACAUUUUUGAGGCCAUCUACAGGGUUGAGAAGAAGACUAUCUGGCAUUCCACUGAAGAGUCGUGGACAGCGUUCAUACACCAAAUGUCUGUUGGAACAAAUAUGGUGGAAUACAGUGGCGGCUCGUAACUGCUCAUCCGAAGAUGCGCUAAUUCAAAAUAAGUGUUCAGAUUGUCACGUGUGUGGUUCCCUUUUCCAAAAUAUGUGUCCUGCGUGUCGAGAGAUCCUGUGUGCAUCACGUGUUUUGUCAAAAUAAGUGCCUGCUGCACAUGCAUCAAAACCGUUUAUGAUACAAUAGACGCUCAUGUUCCUAAAAUACACGGCAGACACUUCCUUAACAGUAAACUCUUAUUAUGCAUGAGAUUAUGCGACUAUCUGGCAAACGCGAGCAUCUCUUUUAUCAUAAACCCUUUAGACGCGUCUGCAGCAGGCACUUAUUUUGACAUGACACGUGAUGCACACACGAUCUCUCAAAGCGCAGAACACAUAUUUUGAAAUUACAAACCACACACAUGACAAGCUACAUACAUGUUGUGACGAACUUUGCAUCGAGCGUCCUCGAAUAAAGAAGUCACCGGCUGUCACUGGUGGAAUACCUUCAGCAAUCGCAGUCGUUCCCCUCUGGGAGAUCUCAAGCUGCACACAACCAAUGUUUGAAGACUUAAAGCCUCAAGUUCAAUCCAAUUAUUGAAUGUUGUUAAAUGUUUGAGAGAGAAUGUUUGAGAGUUGUUUAUUUUUCUAUUUUUCCUUUCUAAUGUUAUUACAGUGUUACCUAAAAUAAAUAGGUCCAA
This is a non-coding RNA of Paramisgurnus dabryanus, 2535 nucleotides long. Lineage: Eukaryota; Metazoa; Chordata; Actinopteri; Cypriniformes; Cobitidae. The record is from RefSeq and is a predicted model, not a curated record.